Molecule: ribosomal RNA, 400 nt
Filed under: uncultured bacterium
Lineage: Bacteria
Description: bacterial SSU rRNA
Rfam family: Bacterial small subunit ribosomal RNA
Source: RNAcentral
GGGGAAUUUUGCGCAAUGGGCGAAAGCCUGACGCAGCAACGCCGCGUGGAGGAUGAAGGUUUUCGGAUCGUAAACUCCUUUCAAUAGUGAUGAAAUUGACAGUAGCUAUAAAAGAAGCCCCGGCUAAAUACGUGCCAGCAGCCGCGGUAAUACGUAUGGGGCAAGCGUUAUCCGGAUUCAUUGGGCGUAAAGAGCGCGUAGGUGGAUUGUUAAGCGAGAUGUGAAAACCGGGGGCUCAACCCGCGGCCUGCAUCGCGAACUGGCAGUCUUGAGUUUGGUAGAGGAGUGUGGAAUUCCUAGUGUAGCGGUGGAAUGCGCAGAUAUUAGGAGGAACACCAGUGGCGAAGGCGGCACUCUGGGCCAAGACUGACACUGAGGCGCGAAAGCUAGGGGAGCAAAC